ACGCACGCUGGCGGCGUGCUUAACACAUGCCAGUCGAACGGAAAGGCCCUGCUUUUGUGGGGUGCUCGAGUGGCGAACGGGUGAGUAACACGUGAGUAACCUGCCCUUGACUUUGGGAUAACUUCAGGAAACUGGGGCUAAUACCGGAUAGGAGCUCCUGCUGCAUGGUGGGGGUUGGAAAGUUUCGGCGGUUGGGGAUGGACUCGCGGCUUAUCAGCGUGUUGGUGGGGUAGUGGCUUACCAAGGCUUUGACGGGUAGCCGGCCUGAGAGGGUGACCGGCCACAUUGGGACUGAGAUACGGCCCAGACUCCUACGGGAGGCAGCAGUGGGGAAUAUUGCACAAUGGGCGGAAGCCUGAUGCAGCAACGCCGCGUGCGGGAUGACGGCCUUCGGGUUGUAAACCGCUUUCGCCUGUGACGAAGCGUGAGUGACGGUAAUGGGUAAAGAAGCACCGGCUAACUACGUG
This 467-nucleotide ribosomal RNA is filed under the name uncultured bacterium. Its description in RNAcentral is "partial 16S ribosomal RNA". It matches the Rfam family "Bacterial small subunit ribosomal RNA", at positions 29 to 507 of the family's 1533-position model. The record is from RNAcentral.